Molecule: ribosomal RNA, 465 nt
Filed under: uncultured bacterium
Lineage: Bacteria
Description: partial 16S ribosomal RNA
Rfam family: Bacterial small subunit ribosomal RNA
Source: RNAcentral
GACGAACGCUGGCGGCGUGCUUAACACAUGCAAGUCGUACGGUAAGGCCCUGUCUGGGGUACACGCGUGGCGGACGGGUGAGUAACACGUAAGUAACCUGCCCACAACUUUGGGAUAACGCUAGGAAACUGGUUCUAAUACUUGAUAUGUACUCCUUCUUCAUGGUGGGGGGUGGAAAGCUAGUGCGGGUGUGGAUGGACUCGCGGGCUAUCAGCUUGUUGGUGGGGUAGUGGCCUACCUAGGCGGCGACGGGUAGCCGGCCUGAGAGGGUGACCGGCCACAAUGGGACCGAGAUACGGCCCAGACUCCUACGGGAGGGAGGAGUGGGGAAUAUUGCAAAAUGGGCGCGAGCCUGAUGCAGCAAACCCGCGUGCGGGAAUAAGGCCUUCGGGUUGGAAACCGCUUUCAGCCGGGGCGAAGCUUUUUGUGGCGGUACCUGCAGAAGAAGCACCGGCUAACUACGUG